AACUUCCCUGGUGGUCCAGUAGUUAAGAAUCCGCCUGCCAAGGCAGGGGACACGGGUUCAGUCACUGGUCCAGGAAGAUUCU
Molecule: microRNA precursor, 82 nt
Organism: Bos grunniens (domestic yak)
Lineage: Eukaryota; Metazoa; Chordata; Mammalia; Artiodactyla; Bovidae
Source: Ensembl